GACGAACGCUGGCGGCGUGCUUAACACAUGCAAGUCGAACGGAAAGGCCCUGCUUUUGUGGGGUGCUCGAGUGGCGAACGGGUGAGUAACACGUGAGUAACCUGCCCUUGACUUUGGGAUAACUUCAGGAAACUGGGGCUAAUACCGGAUAGGAGCUCCUGCUGCAUGGUGGGGGUUGGAAAGUUUCGGCGGGUGGGGAUGGACUCGCGGCUUAUCAGCUUGUUGGUGGGGUAGUGGCUUACCAAGGCUUUGACGGGUAGCCGGCCUGAGAGGGUGACCGGCCACAUUGGGACUGAGAUACGGCCCAGACUCCUACGGGAGGCAGCAGUGGGGAAUAGUGCACAAGGGGCGGAAGCCUGAUGCAGCAACGCCGCGUGCGGUAUGACGGCCUUCGGGUUGUAAACCGCUUUCGCCUGUGACGAAGCGUGAGUGACGGUAAUGGGUAAAGAAGCACCGGCUAACUACGUG
RNAcentral lists this ribosomal RNA (468 nucleotides) under uncultured bacterium. RNAcentral's name for it is "partial 16S ribosomal RNA". It matches the Rfam family "Bacterial small subunit ribosomal RNA", at positions 28 to 507 of the family's 1533-position model. The record is from RNAcentral.